Molecule: ribosomal RNA, 244 nt
Filed under: uncultured bacterium
Lineage: Bacteria
Description: partial small subunit ribosomal RNA
Rfam family: Bacterial small subunit ribosomal RNA
Source: RNAcentral
AGAAUCAACGCUGGCGGCGUGCCUAACACAUGCAAGUCGCACGAGAAAGGGACUUCGGUCCUGAGUACAGUGGCGCACGGGUGAGUAACACGUGAAUCAUCUACCUCCGAGUGGGGAAUAACCUAGAGAAAUCUGGGCUAAUACCGCAUAACACUUACGAGUCAAAGCAGCAAUGCGCUUGGAGAGGAGUUCGCGGCAGAUUAGUUAGUUGGCGGGUAAUGGCCCACCAAGACGAUGAUCUGUA